CAGCCACAUCACAUUGAAACACCAGUUCUCAUAUGAUCACCACAGUUAAGCAAGAUCAAGCCUGGUUAGUGCCUAGAUGGGUGACCACCUGGGAAUACAAAGUACAG
Molecule: non-coding RNA, 107 nt
Organism: Acanthosepion pharaonis
Lineage: Eukaryota; Metazoa; Mollusca; Cephalopoda; Sepiida; Sepiidae
Source: the annotation of a GenBank genome assembly